CAAGGAGUCUAACAUGCGCGCGAGUCGUCGGGUCGGACACGCUCCGCUAAACCCGCAGGCGCAAUGAAAGUGAAGGCCGCCCUUCAGCGGGGCCGAGGGAGGACGGGGGCCCCNNNNNNNNUCGANNNNNNNNGGGCCCCCCGCACUCCCGGGGCGUCUGAUUCCUCACUGCGAGGGGAGGCGCACCCAGAGCGCACACGUUGGGACCCGAAAGAUGGUGAACUAUGCCUGGCCAGGACGAAGUCAGGGGAAACCCUGAUGGAGGUCCGUAGCGAUUCUGACGUGCAAAUCGAUCGUCGGAGCUGGGUAUAGGUGCGAAAGACUAAUCGAAC
RNAcentral lists this ribosomal RNA (332 nucleotides) under Cordulia shurtleffii. RNAcentral's name for it is "partial 28S ribosomal RNA". It matches the Rfam family "Eukaryotic large subunit ribosomal RNA", at positions 667 to 940 of the family's 3401-position model. The record is from RNAcentral. Lineage: Eukaryota; Metazoa; Arthropoda; Insecta; Odonata; Corduliidae.